UUGAACGCUGGCGGCAUGCUUUACACAUGCAAGUCGAACGGCAGCACGGGGGCAACCCUGGUGGCGAGUGGCGAACGGGUGAGUAAUGCAUCGGAACGUACCGUGUAAUGGGGGAUAACGAGUCGAAAGACUUGCUAAUACCGCAUACGCCCUGAGGGGGAAAGUGGGGGAUCGUAAGACCUCACGUUAUACGAGCGGCCGAUGCCGGAUUAGCUAGUUGGUAGGGUAAAGGCCUACCAAGGCGACGAUCCGUAGCUGGUCUGAGAGGAUGAUCAGCCACACUGGGACUGAGACACGGCCCAGACUCCUACGGGAGGCAGCAGUGGGGAAUUUUGGACAAUGGGCGCAAGCCUGAUCCAGCCAUGCCGCGUGAGUGAAGAAGGCCUUCGGGUUGUAAAGCUCUUUCAGACGGAAAGAAAUCGGGCGCGUGAAUAGCGUGCCUGGAUGACGGUACUGUCAGAAGAAGCACCGGCUAACUACGU
This 482-nucleotide ribosomal RNA is filed under the name uncultured bacterium. RNAcentral describes it as "bacterial SSU rRNA". It matches the Rfam family "Bacterial small subunit ribosomal RNA", at positions 29 to 506 of the family's 1533-position model. The record is from RNAcentral.